Long non-coding RNA from Ruditapes philippinarum (Manila clam), 306 nucleotides. RefSeq lists it as uncharacterized. Lineage: Eukaryota; Metazoa; Mollusca; Bivalvia; Venerida; Veneridae. The record is from RefSeq and is a predicted model, not a curated record. The transcript has 2 exons.
AUAUUGCACUUAAAGCUACAAUCCAACACUUACCAGAAAUUAUAUGAUUGUUGUUUCAGGGAAACCAAUCCAGUAGCAGAUACAGAUCUGAUAAAGAUGACAGAAACUACAUAUAUACAUGGCAGUCAUAGGAAACAUACUUCAAACUAUGGAUGUGUAUUAGAAGAACAGACAUUAUGCAUAUAUAAUCACUUGGAAGGGACGUGUCAAUCACCAACUUUAUAUUGUGUUGUGAACAUUUAAUUAACCUGCUGAAUUUCUUAAACUUUUUCCUAUGAUAUUUUCAAUAAACCAUUUUUCAUUCUA